Molecule: ribosomal RNA, 2633 nt
Filed under: Staphylococcus aureus
Lineage: Bacteria; Bacillati; Bacillota; Bacilli; Caryophanales; Staphylococcaceae
Description: bacterial LSU rRNA
Rfam family: Bacterial large subunit ribosomal RNA
Source: RNAcentral
UUGUUGGGGUUGUAGGACACUCUAUACGGAGUUACAAAGGACGACAUUAGACGAAUCAUCUGGAAAGAUGAAUCAAAGAAGGUAAUAAUCCUGUAGUCGAAAAUGUUGUCUCUCUUGAGUGGAUCCUGAGUACGACGGAGCACGUGAAAUUCCGUCGGAAUCUGGGAGGACCAUCUCCUAAGGCUAAAUACUCUCUAGUGACCGAUAGUGAACCAGUACCGUGAGGGAAAGGUGAAAAGCACCCCGGAAGGGGAGUGAAAUAGAACCUGAAACCGUGUGCUUACAAGUAGUCAGAGCCCGUUAAUGGGUGAUGGCGUGCCUUUUGUAGAAUGAACCGGCGAGUUACGAUUUGAUGCAAGGUUAAGCAGUAAAUGUGGAGCCGUAGCGAAAGCGAGUCUGAAUAGGGCGUUUAGUAUUUGGUCGUAGACCCGAAACCAGGUGAUCUACCCUUGGUCAGGUUGAAGUUCAGGUAACACUGAAUGGAGGACCGAACCGACUUACGUUGAAAAGUGAGCGGAUGAACUGAGGGUAGCGGAGAAAUUCCAAUCGAACCUGGAGAUAGCUGGUUCUCUCCGAAAUAGCUUUAGGGCUAGCCUCAAGUGAUGAUUAUUGGAGGUAGAGCACUGUUUGGACGAGGGGCCCCUCUCGGGUUACCGAAUUCAGACAAACUCCGAAUGCCAAUUAAUUUAACUUGGGAGUCAGAACAUGGGUGAUAAGGUCCGUGUUCGAAAGGGAAACAGCCCAGACCACCAGCUAAGGUCCCAAAAUAUAUGUUAAGUGGAAAAGGAUGUGGCGUUGCCCAGACAACUAGGAUGUUGGCUUAGAAGCAGCCAUCAUUUAAAGAGUGCGUAAUAGCUCACUAGUCGAGUGACACUGCGCCGAAAAUGUACCGGGGCUAAACAUAUUACCGAAGCUGUGGAUUGUCCUUUGGACAAUGGUAGGAGAGCGUUCUAAGGGCGUUGAAGCAUGAUCGUAAGGACAUGUGGAGCGCUUAGAAGUGAGAAUGCCGGUGUGAGUAGCGAAAGACGGGUGAGAAUCCCGUCCACCGAUUGACUAAGGUUUCCAGAGGAAGGCUCGUCCGCUCUGGGUUAGUCGGGUCCUAAGCUGAGGCCGACAGGCGUAGGCGAUGGAUAACAGGUUGAUAUUCCUGUACCACCUAUAAUCGUUUUAAUCGAUGGGGGGACGCAGUAGGAUAGGCGAAGCGUGCGAUUGGAUUGCACGUCUAAGCAGUAAGGCUGAGUAUUAGGCAAAUCCGGUACUCGUUAAGGCUGAGCUGUGAUGGGGAGAAGACAUUGUGUCUUCGAGUCGUUGAUUUCACACUGCCGAGAAAAGCCUCUAGAUAGAAAAUAGGUGCCCGUACCGCAAACCGACACAGGUAGUCAAGAUGAGAAUUCUAAGGUGAGCGAGCGAACUCUCGUUAAGGAACUCGGCAAAAUGACCCCGUAACUUCGGGAGAAGGGGUGCUCUUUAGGGUUAACGCCCAGAAGAGCCGCAGUGAAUAGGCCCAAGCGACUGUUUAUCAAAAACACAGGUCUCUGCUAAACCGUAAGGUGAUGUAUAGGGGCUGACGCCUGCCCGGUGCUGGAAGGUUAAGAGGAGUGGUUAGCUUCUGCGAAGCUACGAAUCGAAGCCCCAGUAAACGGCGGCCGUAACUAUAACGGUCCUAAGGUAGCGAAAUUCCUUGUCGGGUAAGUUCCGACCCGCACGAAAGGCGUAACGAUUUGGGCACUGUCUCAACGAGAGACUCGGUGAAAUCAUAGUACCUGUGAAGAUGCAGGUUACCCGCGACAGGACGGAAAGACCCCGUGGAGCUUUACUGUAGCCUGAUAUUGAAAUUCGGCACAGCUUGUACAGGAUAGGUAGGAGCCUUUGAAACGUGAGCGCUAGCUUACGUGGAGGCGCUGGUGGGAUACUACCCUAGCUGUGUUGGCUUUCUAACCCGCACCACUUAUCGUGGUGGGAGACAGUGUCAGGCGGGCAGUUUGACUGGGGCGGUCGCCUCCUAAAAGGUAACGGAGGCGCUCAAAGGUUCCCUCAGAAUGGUUGGAAAUCAUUCAUAGAGUGUAAAGGCAUAAGGGAGCUUGACUGCGAGACCUACAAGUCGAGCAGGGUCGAAAGACGGACUUAGUGAUCCGGUGGUUCCGCAUGGAAGGGCCAUCGCUCAACGGAUAAAAGCUACCCCGGGGAUAACAGGCUUAUCUCCCCCAAGAGUUCACAUCGACGGGGAGGUUUGGCACCUCGAUGUCGGCUCAUCGCAUCCUGGGGCUGUAGUCGGUCCCAAGGGUUGGGCUGUUCGCCCAUUAAAGCGGUACGCGAGCUGGGUUCAGAACGUCGUGAGACAGUUCGGUCCCUAUCCGUCGUGGGCGUAGGAAAUUUGAGAGGAGCUGUCCUUAGUACGAGAGGACCGGGAUGGACAUACCUCUGGUGUACCAGUUGUCGUGCCAACGGCAUAGCUGGGUAGCUAUGUGUGGACGGGAUAAGUGCUGAAAGCAUCUAAGCAUGAAGCCCCCCUCAAGAUGAGAUUUCCCAACUUCGGUUAUAAGAUCCCUCAAAGAUGAUGAGGUUAAUAGGUUCGAGGUGGAAGCAUGGUGACAUGUGGAGCUGACGAAUACUAAUCGAUCGAAGACUUAAUC